UUGUAGGAGUCCCGGUGGGUCGUUUUGCUCUUGGUUGAGAUUCGAGAGAAGCCCAACCAAACGGAAUCUUCUCCACCAAGAAUUUGCUUUCACCCCAUUGAUCUGCGCGCGCGACGCGAGACGACCAAGACGACGACUACGAGGUUUCCUGCCCUCGCAGGAACGCUUUCAUACCUUGACGGCGACGGCGAUUUGGUUGGAUUUUUUUUUUCCAGAUCCGCGUCAAUAUCAUCAUCGCGGGCCACUCUCUUUGGUGGAUGCGUGUGCAGGGUGUGGGCUGGGAGGCGACGUGGACAAGCACCGGCAGUCUUCCAUCCAUCGACACCGGGUCACCAACCCCCUCUCCUUGGAAUUUUUCGCCAAGUGGCUUUGCUCCCUAAUUCCUAGAGGAACUUUGCCAUCACUCUGAAACAUCAGAGGCGUAGAUUCUCUGUGGAGGAUGUCAUUGGCCAUCUGAGUGUUGAGUAGAAUUCGAGGGCAAAGGACUCGCACGGAAAAGGGGCCGAAGGGACUUCUGUAGCCAACAUGGUGAACCAGAGGAAUUUCAACUCCCACAAGACCAAGGGAAAGAACGGUGUCCAACACAAUACCGACUUUAAGAAGAAGGGUAAGAAGACCUUCAAGAAGAACAAGAAGGAUGAGGGCUGCUUUACUUGUGGUUCGGUUGAACAUUGGGCCAACAAGUGCCCAAACAAGUUUAAGAAGUCAGGACAGGACUCCAAGUCUGUCAACAUGAUUGUGGGCAACAACGAGAAUGGUGCAUCUACGGUCACAGGCGACGGGUCCGUACU
Molecule: long non-coding RNA, 791 nt
Organism: Triticum aestivum (bread wheat)
Lineage: Eukaryota; Viridiplantae; Streptophyta; Magnoliopsida; Poales; Poaceae
Exons: 4
Source: RefSeq, a predicted model, not a curated record